UGCUGGAGAGUUUGAUGGUGGCUCAGGGCGAACGCUGGCGGCGUGGAUAAGGCAUGCAAGUCGAGCGCAGGCUUGCCUGUGGGUUUUGCUCACAGGCAGGUGCUGAGCGGCGAACGGGCGAGUAACGCGUGCCUAACCUACCCUGAGGACCGGGAUAACCCUGGGAAACUGGGGCUAAUACCGGAUACACUCCCUCGUCGCAUGGCGGGGGAGGAAAGGUGCCUGUUCCGAAA
Molecule: ribosomal RNA, 233 nt
Filed under: Bacillota bacterium
Lineage: Bacteria; Bacillati; Bacillota
Description: Firmicutes bacterium (hot springs metagenome) partial 16S ribosomal RNA
Rfam family: Bacterial small subunit ribosomal RNA
Source: RNAcentral